AGAGCGAACGCUGGCGGCAGGCUUAACACAUGCAAGUCGAGCGCCCCGCAAGGGGAGCGGCAGACGGGAGAGUAACACGUGGGAACGUACCUUUCGGUUCGGAACAACCCAGGGAAACUUGGGCUAAUACCGGAUACGCCCGUAAGGGGAAAGAUUUAUCGCCGGAAGAUCGGCCCGCGUCUGAUUAGCUAGUUGGUGGGUAACGGCUCACCAAGGCGACGAUCAGUAGCUGGUCUGAGAGGAUGAUCAGCCUCACUGGGACUGAGACACGGCCCAGACUCCUACGGGAGGCAGCAGUGGGGAAUAUUGGACAAUGGCGCAAGCCUGAUCCAGCCAUGCCGCGUGGGUGAUGAAGGCCCUAGGGUUGUAAAGCCCUUUCGGCGGGGAAGAUAAUGACGGUACCCGCAGAAGAAGCCCGGCUAACUUCGUGCCAGCAGCCGC
RNAcentral lists this ribosomal RNA (441 nucleotides) under uncultured bacterium. RNAcentral describes it as "SSU rRNA". It matches the Rfam family "Bacterial small subunit ribosomal RNA", at positions 26 to 518 of the family's 1533-position model. The record is from RNAcentral.